UACGGAGGGUGCAAACGUUGCUCGGAAUCAUUGGGCGUAAAGCGCACGUAGGCGGCUUGUUAAGUCGGAUGUGAAAGCCCUCGGCUCAACCGAGGAAGUGCAUACGAAACUGGCGAGCUUGAAUAUGGAAGAGGGUCGCGGAAUUCCCGGUGUAGAGGUGAAAUUCGUAGAUAUCGGGAGGAACACCAGUGGCGAAGGCGGCGACCUGGGCCAAUAUUGACGCUGAGGAGCGAAAGCGUGGGGAGCGAACAGG
This 253-nucleotide ribosomal RNA is filed under the name uncultured bacterium. RNAcentral describes it as "partial 16S ribosomal RNA". It matches the Rfam family "Bacterial small subunit ribosomal RNA", at positions 524 to 776 of the family's 1533-position model. The record is from RNAcentral.